GCUGGGCUUGGUGGCGCAUGCCUGUAAUCCCAGCUACUCGGGAGGCUGAGACAGGAGAAUUGCUUGAAUCUGGGAGGUGGAGGUUGCAGUGAGCCGAGAUCACGCCAUUGCACUCCAGCCUGGGCAACAGAGCAAGACUCUGUCUCAC
Pongo abelii (Sumatran orangutan) is the source of this 148-nucleotide unclassified non-coding RNA. It matches the Rfam family "Metazoan signal recognition particle RNA". From Rfam's summary of the family: The signal recognition particle (SRP) is a universally conserved ribonucleoprotein. It is involved in the co-translational targeting of proteins to membranes. The eukaryotic SRP consists of a 300-nucleotide 7S RNA and six proteins: SRPs 72, 68, 54, 19, 14, and 9. Lineage: Eukaryota; Metazoa; Chordata; Mammalia; Primates; Hominidae. The record is from Ensembl.